RNAcentral lists this ribosomal RNA (450 nucleotides) under uncultured Glomeromycotina. RNAcentral's name for it is "SSU rRNA". It matches the Rfam family "Eukaryotic small subunit ribosomal RNA", at positions 569 to 1024 of the family's 1831-position model. Lineage: Eukaryota; Fungi; Glomeromycota. The record is from RNAcentral.
AGCAGCCGCGGUAAUUCCAGCUCCAAUAGCGUAUAUUAAAGUUGUUGCAGUUAAAAAGCUCGUAGUUGAAUUUCGGGGUUAGUAGGUUGGUCGUGCCAAUGGUAUGCACUGGCUUUACUGAUUCCUCCUUCUUGAAGAACUGUAAUGCCAUUAAUUUGGUGUUGCAGGGAAUCAGGACUGUUACUUUGAAAAAAUUAGAGUGUUUAAAGCAGGCUUACGCUUGAAUACAUUAGCAUGGAAUAAUGAAAUAGGACGUUGAUCCUAUUUUGUUGGUUUCUAGGAUUGACGUAAUGAUUAAUAGGGAUAGUUGGGGGCAUUAGUAUUCAAUUGUCAGAGGUGAAAUUCUUGGAUUUAUUGAAGACUAACUACUGCGAAAGCAUUUGCCAAGGAUGUUUUCAUUAAUCAAGAACGAAAGUUAGGGGAUCGAAGACGAUCAGAUACCGUCGUAGU